AACCCUUGUGGAGGAGGACGCCGAAGGUGGGGCUAAUGACUGGGGUGAAGUCGUAACAAGGUAGCCGUACCGGAAGGUGCGGCUGGAUCACCUCCUAACAGGGAGACAACAAAAUGUUUAAUAUUAUUAUUUUGUCACCUUAGGUCGAUCGGUAUCUCACGUUCUUAAUUUAUUAAGAAUUUCAUUUCCUAAGUUUUUCUAGGUCACACCCAUUAUUUUUCCUGGGCCAUUAGCUCAGGUGGUUAGAGCGCACCCCUGAUAAGGGUGAGGUCCCUGGUUCAAGUCCAGGAUGGCCCAUAUCUCUAUGUUGGGGGUAUAGCUCAGUUGGUAGAGCGCCUGCUUUGCAAGCAGGAUGUCAGCGGUUCGAGUCCGCUUACCUCCACUGAUUACCACCUCUUUCAUAAUCUGUAAAAAGGAAAUGUUUUGAGUUGUGAUCAAAUUCUGAACGAAUCUAGCUUCCUAAUGAAAACAUUAAGAUGCUGGACUCAUUGAAUUAAUUUCAUUGUUUUCAGAGAACCUUGACAACUGCAUAGAUUAUUUUUUAAAGACAAUAAGCAUCUUUAAUGAUGCAGAUUUAUUAUUUGUGCGAAUGCAUUAAUAACAAUUCUAUUAAGCUGAUGCUUCAAUUUUGAAGUUAUUGGUCAAGCUACAAAGGGCUCACGGA
RNAcentral lists this unclassified non-coding RNA (664 nucleotides) under uncultured Prochlorococcus sp. RNAcentral describes it as "partial may contain 16S ribosomal RNA, 16S-23S ribosomal RNA intergenic spacer, and 23S ribosomal RNA". The stretch from base 1 to 98 matches the Rfam family "Bacterial small subunit ribosomal RNA", at positions 1437 to 1533 of the family's 1533-position model. Lineage: Bacteria; Bacillati; Cyanobacteriota; Cyanophyceae; Synechococcales; Prochlorococcaceae. The record is from RNAcentral.